GACGAACGCUGGCGGCGUGCUUAACACAUGCAAGUCGAGCGGUAAGGCCCUUUCGGGGGUACGACGAGCGGCGAACGGGUGAGUAACACGUGGGUGACCUGCCCUUACGCUCUGGGAUAAGCCUGGGAAACGUGGGUCUAAUACCGGAUAUGACUCCAUAACGCAUGUUGUGGGGUGGAAAGCCUUGUGCGGCUAGGGAUGGGCCCGCGGCCUAUCAGCUUGUUGGUGGGGUGAUGGCCUACCAAGGCGACGACGGGUAGCCGGCCUGAGAGGGCGACCGGCCACACUGGGACUGAGACACGGCCCAGACUCCUACGGGAGGCAGCAGUGGGGAAUCUUGCGCAAUGGGCGAAAGCCUGACGCAGCGACGCCGCGUGGGGAUGACGGCCU
RNAcentral lists this ribosomal RNA (390 nucleotides) under uncultured bacterium. RNAcentral's name for it is "bacterial SSU rRNA". It matches the Rfam family "Bacterial small subunit ribosomal RNA", at positions 28 to 417 of the family's 1533-position model. The record is from RNAcentral.